CGGGACACGUGGUAUCCUGUCUGAAUAUGGGGGGACCAUCCUCCAAGGCUAAAUACUCCUGACUGACCGAUAGUGAACCAGUACCGUGAGGGAAAGGCGAAAAGAACCCCGGCGAGGGGAGUGAAAAAGAACCUGAAACCGUGUACGUACAAGCAGUGGGAGCACAGAGCAAUCUGUGUGACUGCGUACCUUUUGUAUAAUGGGUCAGCGACUUAUAUUCUGUAGCAAGGUUAACCGAAUAGGGGAGCCGAAGGGAAACCGAGUCUUAACUGGGCGUUAAGUUGCAGGGUAUAGACCCGAAACCCGGUGAUCUAGCCAUGGGCAGGUUGAAGGUUGGGUAACACUAACUGGAGGACCGAACCGACUAAUGUUGAAAAAUUAGCGGAUGACUUGUGGCUGGGGGUGAAAGGCCAAUCAAACCGGGAGAUAGCUGGUUCUCCCCGAAAGCUAUUUAGGUAGCGCCUCGUGAAUUCAUCUCCGGGGGUAGAGCACUGUUUCGGCAAGGGGGUCAUCCCGACUUACCAACCCGAUGCAAACUGCGAAUACCGGAGAAUGUUAUCACGGGAGACACACGGCGGGUGCUAACGUCCGUCG
Molecule: ribosomal RNA, 594 nt
Filed under: Escherichia coli
Lineage: Bacteria; Pseudomonadati; Pseudomonadota; Gammaproteobacteria; Enterobacterales; Enterobacteriaceae
Description: partial 23S ribosomal RNA
Rfam family: Bacterial large subunit ribosomal RNA
Source: RNAcentral